RNAcentral lists this long non-coding RNA (210 nucleotides) under Gossypium raimondii (Peruvian cotton). RNAcentral describes it as "long non-coding RNA (GRAI_LNC005652)". The record is from RNAcentral. Lineage: Eukaryota; Viridiplantae; Streptophyta; Magnoliopsida; Malvales; Malvaceae.
UCGAAGUGUAAUUUUACCUUUACUAAUUUAAAAAUUUUAAAAAAAUUUAAGGGUCUAAUAGCAAUUUUACAUUUUAGGGGGGCCAGGGCCCCUGCCAGCCCCUCUUAAAUUUGACUCUACAUGGACGAGCUAUUGGGAAGCUAGCCAGCCUUGCCAACUAGGACGAGUAGUGAACACCAACUAGAAUGGUUUUUUGAGGACAUGUGUCGG